GUGCCAGACUCCUACGGGAGGCAGCAGUGGGGAAUAUUGCACAAUGGGGGAAACCCUGAUGCAGCGACGCCGCGUGAGUGAAGAAGUAUUUCGGUAUGUAAAUCUCUAUCAGCAGGGAAGAAGUUGACGGUACCUGAGUAAGAAGCCCCGGCUAACUACGUGCCAGCAGCCGCGGUAAUACGUAGGGGGCAAGCGUUAUCCGGAUUUACUGGGUGUAAAGGGAGCGUAGACGGCAGUGCAAGUCUGAAGUGAAAGCCCCGGGCUUAACCCGGGAAUUGCUUUGGAAACUGUACGGCUGGAGUGCUGGAGAGGUAAGCGGAAUUCCUAGUGUAGCGGUGAAAUGCGUAGAUAUUAGGAGGAACACCAGUGGCGAAGGCGGCUUACGGGACAGUAGCUGACGUUGAGGCUCGAAAGCGUGGGGAGCAAACAGGAUUAGAUACCCUCG
RNAcentral lists this ribosomal RNA (445 nucleotides) under uncultured bacterium. RNAcentral's name for it is "bacterial SSU rRNA". It matches the Rfam family "Bacterial small subunit ribosomal RNA", at positions 328 to 790 of the family's 1533-position model. The record is from RNAcentral.